GACGAACGCUGGCGGCGUGCUUAACACAUGCAAGUCGAGCGGUAAGGCCCUUUCGGGGGUACACGAGCGGCGAACGGGUGAGUAACACGUGGGUGACCUGCCUUUAGCUCUGGGAUAAGCCUGGGAAACUGGGUCUAAUACCGGAUAUGACCCUAUGGCGCAUGUUGUGGGGUGGAAAGCCUUGUGCGGCUAGGGAUGGGCCCGCGGCCUAUCAGCUUGUUGGUGGGGUGAUGGCCUACCAAGGCGACGACGGGUAGCCGGCCUGAGAGGGCGACCGGCCACACUGGGACUGAGACACGGCCCAGACUCCUACGGGAGGCAGCAGUGGGGAAUCUUGCGCAAUGGGCGAAAGCCUGACGCAUCGACGCCGCGUGAGGGAUGACGGCCUCGGUU
This 393-nucleotide ribosomal RNA is filed under the name uncultured bacterium. RNAcentral describes it as "bacterial SSU rRNA". It matches the Rfam family "Bacterial small subunit ribosomal RNA", at positions 28 to 424 of the family's 1533-position model. The record is from RNAcentral.